Oncorhynchus tshawytscha (Chinook salmon) is the source of this 3486-nucleotide long non-coding RNA. NCBI's taxonomy places the organism in Eukaryota, Metazoa, Chordata, Actinopteri, Salmoniformes, Salmonidae. The record is from Ensembl.
GAGAUACAGUUCUGGGCCUAGUGUUUGAGAGAUACAGUUCUGGGCCUAGUGUUUGAGAGACACAGUUCUGGGUCUAGUGUUUGAGAGACACAGUUCUGGGCCUAGUGCUCACAUCAAUCAAUAAGUCACCAUGUGUGUCUGAUAAAUUAACAGCUUUAAUGGCAGAGGCUUUGCAGUGAGUGAUGCAUUCUAGUCAAGUGAUGUGUGUGUAUGAUUGUGUGCAUGAAUGUGUGUGUAGGGGGUUGUAUCGCAGGCAGGCACACACACACACACACACACACACACACAAACUUAAUCAAACAACGUUUAGAGCAAUCCCUCAGACUGUAACUGUAAGGUUCCAGUCUGAAACCCCCAGAGAAAUCAAAUAUUAAUUUAGACGAGAGCCACUGCUCAAUAUCGACUCUCCAAUCGAUGUGUGCGUGUGUGCAUGCAAGGAGAGAAAAAGAGAUGCAGGACAAACAAGAGAUUGAGUGAAGAGAAAAAGAGUCAGAGAGGAAGAAAGAGAGAAAAAGAUGAGUCCCUAGGACUCCAGCCUCAAUCACAGAAGUUUGAUCAAAGUUCUCUGUUUCAGUAUACAUUUCUGAACAGCAGGCCCGAUUCAAACAGCUCAACUGCAUGCACAGUAGGGGGGAAGACAAUCAGUGUAGCGCUCCCUUUUCAUCGAGAAAUGAUGAGAAUACAAGCUAUAGCGGCCUUCAUUCUCCUCCAGUCACAAAGCAACUGGUCUGUGAUUGCCCUGGACCCCUCGUUAGGCACCAAGAGCCUGUCCAAUCAACUCCAUCAUUCCACUACAGUGCAUGUGUGUGGGUGUUUUGUGUGUGUGAUGUCUGAAGACAGACACAAAUUGGCAAUCAGGUAACGCUAUCAUGGAUUGGACUUUCCUCAGAGGGAUCCUGACUCCAAUACCUUCUUCCUUUCCUCUCCUCCAUCUCCUCGUCGCUCCGGAGCGGCUCCAGCUCGACCCUGACAGGUUCUCCUGACAACUUAUUACCAUACAAUUACACGAGCUCUCUCUCUCUCUCUCUCUCUCUCUCUCUCUCUCAAUCACUAAAGUUUCUCACUUGUCUUAACCCUCAAUCCCUGUCUCUCCCUCUCUCUUUCUCACCCCUCCUCUUUUAUCACUAUCUCUAUCCACUUCUAUCAAUCUUUAUUGGUUCCCAUCUCCUAGGCCCAAAUAGAGCAUUAGAGUACAUGGCUCACUUUAAUCUGCAUUAGGGAAGAGAUGAGAGGGCAAUGAGGAGAGGAGGAGAGAGGAGAAGGUGAGGAGGAGAGAGGAGAAGGUGAGGAGGAGAGAGGAGAAGGUGAGGAGGAGAGAGGAGAAGGUGAUGAGGAGAGGAGGAGAAGGUGAUGAGGAGAGGAGGAGAGAGGAGAAGGUGAUGAGGAGAGGAGGAGAGAGGAGAAGGUGAUGAGGAGAGGAGGAGAGAGGAGAAGUUGAUGAGGAGAGAGGAGAAGGUGAUGAGAGGAGGAGAAGGUGAUGAGAGGAGGAGAAGGUGACGAGAGGAGGAGAGAGGAGAAGGUGAGGAGGAGAGAGGAGAAGGUGAUGAGGAGAGGAGGAGAAGAUGAUGAGGAGAGGAGGAGAAGAUGAGGAGGAGAGAAGGUGAUGAGGAGAGGAGGAGAAGGUGAUGAGGAGAGGAGGAGAGAGGAGAAGGUGAUGAGGAGAGGAGGAGAGAGGAGAAGGUGAUGAGGAGAGAGGAGAAGGUGAUGAGAGGAGGAGAAGGUGAUGAGAGGAGAAGGUGAUGAGAGGAGGAGAGAGGAGAAGGUGAGGAGGAGAGAGGAGAAGGUGAUGAGGAGAGGAGAAGAUGAUGAGGAGAGGAGGAGAAGGUGAUGAGGAGAGGAGGAGAGAGGAGAAGGUGAUGAGGAGAGAGGAGAAGGUGAUGAAAGGAGGAGAGAAGAGAAGGUGAUGAGGAGAAGGUGAUGAGGAGAGGAGAAGGUGAUGAGGAGAGAGGUGAAGGAGAGGAGGAGAGAGGACAGGGUGAUGAGGAGAGAGGAGAAGGUGAUGAGGAGAGAGGAGAAGGUGAUGAGAGGAGGAGAGAGGAGAAGGUGAUGAGGAGAAGGUGAUGAGGAGAGGAGGAGAGAGGAGAAGGUGAUGAGGAGAGGAGGAGGGAGAAGGUGAUGAGGAGAGGACGAGAGAGGAGAAGGUGAUGAGGAGAGGAUGAGAGAGAGGAGAAGGUGAGGUGAUGAGGAGAGGAGAUUGUGAUGAGGAGAGGAGAAGGUGAUAAGGAGAAGAGAAGGUGAUGAGGAGGGGAGGAGAGAGGAGAAGGUGAUGAGGAGAGGAGGAGAGAGGAGAAGGUGAUGAGGAGAGGAGCAGAGAGGAGAAGGUGAUGAGUUGGAGAAGGCGAUGAGGAGAGGAGGAGAGGAGAAGGCGAUGAUGAGAGAAGGAGAGAGGAGAAGGUGAUGAGGAGAGGACGAGAGAGGAGAAGGUGAGGUGAUGAGGAGAGGAGAAGGUGACGAGGAGAGGAGAAGGUGAUGAGGAGAGGAGGAGAAGGUGAUGAGGAGAGGACGAGAGAGGAGAAGAUGAUGAGGAGAGGACGAGAGGAGAAGGUGAUGAGGAGAGGACGAGAGAGGAGAAGGUGAUGAGGAGAGGACGAUAGAGGAGAGGAGGAGAGAGGAGAAGGUGAUGAGGAGAGAGGAGAAGGUGAUGAGGAGAGGAGCAGAGAGGAUAAUGUGAUGAGGAGGAGAAGGUGAUGAGGAGAGGAGGAGAGGAGAAGGCAAUGAUGAGAGGAGGAGAGAGGAGAAGGUGAUGAGGAGAGGAGGAGAGAGGAGAAGGUGAUGAGGAGAGGACGAGAGAGGAGAAGGUGAUGAGGAGAGGAGGAGAGAGGAGAAGGUGAUGAGGAGAGGACGAGAGAGGAGAAGGCGAUGAGGAGAGGACAAGAGAGGAGAAGGUGAGGUGAUGAGGAGAGGAGAAGGUGAUGAGGAGAGGAUGAGAGAGGAGAAGGUGAUGAGGAGAGGACGAGAGAGGAGAAGGUGAGGUGAUGAGGAGAGGAGAAGGUGAUGAUGAGAGGAGGAGAGAGGAGAAGGUGAUGAGGAGAGGAGGAGAGAGGAGAAGGCGAUGAGGAGAGGAGGAGAGAGGAGAAGGUGAUGAGGAGAGGAGGAGAGAGGAGAAGGUGAUGAGGAGAGGAGGAGAGAGGAGAAGGUGAUGAGGAGAGGAGGAGAGAGGAUAAGGUGAUGAGGAGAGGAGGAGAGAGGAGAAGGUGAUGAGGAGAGGAGGAGAGAGGAGAAGGUGAUGAGGAGAGGAGGAGAGAGGAUAAGGUGAUGAGGAGAGGAGGAGAGAGGAGAAGGUGAUGAGGAGAGGAGGAGAGAGGAGAAGGUGAUGAGGAGAGGAGGAGAGAGGAGAAGGUGAUGAGGAGAGGAGGAGAGAGGAGAAGGUGAUGAGGAGAGGAGGAGAGAGGAGAAGGUGAUGAGGAGAGGAGAAGGUGAUGAGGAGAGGAGGAGAGAGGAGAAGGUGAUGAGGAGAGGAGGAGAGAGAGAAGGUGAUGAGGAGAG